UGGUGCAGCAUGAAGACAGGCCCUGGGUUGGUGCAGCAUGAAGACAAGGCCUGGUUGGUGGAGCAUGGGGACAGGCCCUGGUUGGUGGAACAUGAAGACAAGGCCUGGUUGAUGCAGCAUAGGGACAGGGCCUGGUUGGUGGAGCAUGGAGACAGGCCCUGGUUGGUGGAGCAUGAAGACAGGCCCUGGGUUGGUGCAGCAUGAAGACAAGGCCCUGGUUGCUGGAGCAUGAAAACAGGCCCUGGUUGGUGGAGCAUGAAAACAGGCCCUGGUUGCUGGAGCAUGAAAACAGGCCCUGGUUGGUGGAGCAUGGGGACAGGCCCUGGUUGGUGGAGCAUGGGGACAGGCCCUGGUUGGUGGAGCAUGAAGACAAGGCCUGGUUGGUGGAGCAUGGAGACAGGCCCUGGUUGGUGGAGCAUGGAGACAGGCCCUGGUUGGUGGAGCAUGGAGACAGGCCCUGGUUGGUGGAGCAUGAAGACAGGCCCUGGUUGGUGGAGCAUGGAGACAGGCCCUGGUUGGUGCAGCAUGAAGACAGGCCCUGGUUGGUGCAGCAUGGGGACAAGGCCCUGGUUGCUGGAGCAUGAAAACAGGCCCUGGUUGGUGGAGCAUGAAGACAGGCCCUGGGUUGGUGCAGCAUGAAGACAAGGCCUGGUUGGUGGAGCAUGGGGACAGGCCCUGGUUGGUGGAGCAUGAAGACAAGGCCUGGUUGGUGCAGCAUAGGGACAGGGCCUGGUUGGUGGAGCAUGGAGACAGGCCCUGGUUGGUGGAGAAUGAAGACAAGGCCUGGUUGGUGCAGCAUAGGGACAGGGCCUGGUUGGUGGAGCAUGGCGACAGGCCCUGGUUGGUGGAGCAUGAAGACAAGGCCUGGUUAGUGCAGCAUGAAGACAAGGCCUGGUUGGUGGAGCAUGAAGACAAGGCCUGGUUGGUGGAGCAUGAAGACAAGGCCUGGUUAGUGCAGCAUAGGGACAGGGCCUGGUUGGUGGAGCAUGAAGACAAGGCUUGGUUGGUGGAGCAUGAAGACAGGACAUCAACAGAGCUUGGUGUUUAUUACCAGAGGUCAAGACAUCAACAGAGCUUGGUGUUUAUUACCAGAGGUCAAGACAUCAACAGAGCUUGGUGUUUAUUACCAGAGGUCAAGACAUCAACAGAGCUUGGUGUUUAUUACCAGAGGUCAGGACAUCAACAGAGCUUGGUGUUUAUUACCAGAGGUCAGGACAUCAACAGAGCUUGGUGUUUGUCAGAUGUAUUAUAGGUCAUCAGAUGACCUAAUGUUGGAGAAAUACCCCACAAUGGUACAGAUCAUGAAUACUCCCAUUUGCCCUGGUAAAAUGUAUUUAGUAACAUAAAGAAAAUUACAUUUUCACAAACUCUGGGCAGAGUGAGUGUGCGUGUUUGAGGCAGCCCAAUUCUGAUAUUUAUUUCACCAUUUUUAUAAUUUAACCUUUAUUUAACUAGGCAAGUCAGUUGAGAACAAAUUCUAAUUUUCAAUGAAGGUCUAGGAACAGUGUGUUAACUGCCUUGUUCAGGGGAACAGUGGGUUAACUGCCUUGUUCAGGGGAACAGUGGGUUAACUGCCUUGUUCAGGGGAACAGUGUGUUAACUGCCUUGUUCAGGGGAACAGUGGGUUAACUGCCUUGUUCUUAGGGGAACAGUGUGUUAACUGCCUUGUUCUUAGGGGAACAGUGUGUUAACUGCCUUGUUCUUAGGGGAACAGUGUGUUAACUGCCUUGUUCUUAGGGGAACAGUGUGUUAACUGCCUUGUUCUUAGGGGAACAGUGUGUUAACUGCCUUGUUCAGGGGAACAGUGUGUUAACUGCCUUGUUCAGGGGAACAGUGUGUUAACUGCCUUGUUCAGGG
Long non-coding RNA from Oncorhynchus tshawytscha (Chinook salmon), 1857 nucleotides. NCBI's taxonomy places the organism in Eukaryota, Metazoa, Chordata, Actinopteri, Salmoniformes, Salmonidae. The record is from Ensembl.